AGAACGAACGCUGGCGGCAUGCCUAAUACAUGCAAGUCGAACGAACUCUUCGGAGUUAGUGGCGCACGGGUGCGUAACGCGUGGGAAUCUGCCCUUGGGUUCGGAAUAACAGUUGGAAACGACUGCUAAUACCGGAUGAUGACGAAAGUCCAAAGAUUUAUCGCCCAGGGAUGAGCCCGCGUAGGAUUAGCUAGUUGGUGAGGUAAAGGCUCACCAAGGCGACGAUCCUUAGCUGGUCUGAGAGGAUGAUCAGCCACACUGGGACUGAGACACGGCCCAGACUCCUACGGGAGGCAGCAGUAGGGAAUAUUGGACAAUGGGCGAAAGCCUGAUCCAGCAAUGCCGCGUGAGUGAUGAAGGCCUUAGGUUGUAAAGCUCUUUUACCCGAGAUGAUAAUGACAGUAUCGGAGAAUAAGCCCCGGACUAACUCCGACGCCAGCAGCCGC
RNAcentral lists this ribosomal RNA (446 nucleotides) under uncultured soil bacterium. Its description in RNAcentral is "bacterial SSU rRNA". It matches the Rfam family "Bacterial small subunit ribosomal RNA", at positions 26 to 518 of the family's 1533-position model. The record is from RNAcentral.